Molecule: ribosomal RNA, 17 nt
Filed under: Verticillium dahliae
Lineage: Eukaryota; Fungi; Ascomycota; Sordariomycetes; Glomerellales; Plectosphaerellaceae
Also listed under: 1 other name
Description: partial 18S ribosomal RNA
Source: RNAcentral
UGGAAGUAAAAAGUCGU